RNAcentral lists this ribosomal RNA (403 nucleotides) under bacterium. Its description in RNAcentral is "partial 16S ribosomal RNA". It matches the Rfam family "Bacterial small subunit ribosomal RNA", at positions 355 to 776 of the family's 1533-position model. The record is from RNAcentral.
UGGGGAUUAUUGCACAAUGGGGGAAACCCUGAUGCAGCGACGCCGCGUGAACGAAGAAGGUAUUCGUAUCGUAAAGUUCUGUCCUAUGGGAAGAUAAUGACAGUACCAUAGAAGAAAGCUCCGGCUGAAUACGUGCCAGCAGCCGCGGUAAUACGUAUGGAGCGAGCGUUGUCCGGAAUUAUUGGGCGUAAAGGGUACGCAGGCGGUUUAAUAAGUCGAAUGUUAAAGAUCGGGGCUCAACCCCGUAAAGCAUUGGAAACUGAUAAACUUGAGUAGUGAGGAGGAAAGAAGAGUUCCUAGUGUAGUGGUGAAGUACGUAGAUAUUAGGAGGAAUACCAGUAGCGAAGGAGACUUUCUGGACACAAACUGACGCUGAGGUACGAAAGCGUGGGGAGCAGACAGG